RNAcentral lists this ribosomal RNA (292 nucleotides) under uncultured bacterium. RNAcentral's name for it is "partial 16S ribosomal RNA". The record is from RNAcentral.
GGACUACCGGGGUAUCUAAUCCUGUUUGCUCCCCACGCUUUCGCGCCUCAGCGUCAGUUACAGACCAAAGAGCCGCCUUCGCCACUGGUGUUCCUCCACAUCUCUACGCAUUUCACCGCUACACGUGGAAUUCCGCUCUUCUCUUCUGCACUCAAGCCUUCCAGUUUCCAAUGACCCUCCCCGGUUGAGCCGGGGGCUUUCACAUCAGACUUAAAAGGCCGCCUGCGCGCGCUUUACGCCCAAUAAUUCCGGACAACGCUUGCCACCUACGUAUUACCGCGGCUGCUGGCAC